CUGUAAUUUGUAGCUAACAUUUCUAGUGGUCGGAUAAGUAAAUCCUCUCAAGUUCAAAAUGUAAUAGUACUGGAAAGCAACGUGUUUAACCAGAAGCAGCAAGACAAUUCUGAGACAAGCCUUCCAUACUCUAUGUACAAUAGGCAUAGGGAACUAUGUUUCCACACAACAGGAGCCCAGCACAAUCAAGGCGUGAUGAAGAGGCAGUGAUGGGGAGAGACGAGGGUACAAUGAGCACACAAGCAGCAGCCCAGGUCAGAGCUGGCAACUAGCAACUGGUGAUGCAACAAGACGAAAUUUUAAGUGCCGGACAUUAGCCUUGGGUGGUCAACAAAAUACAGCAUGAGGUGAGUUAGCAAUGGGAGGUAAGACAAGCGGUCGAAGGUCUACAAUCACCCAAUGUGUGCCAAGGCCUUAGAGGUCAAUCACUUGGCGUUCAUCUUACCUCUGA
This is a long non-coding RNA of Esox lucius (northern pike), 451 nucleotides long. RefSeq lists it as uncharacterized. The record is from RefSeq and is a predicted model, not a curated record. The transcript is spliced from 4 exons. Lineage: Eukaryota; Metazoa; Chordata; Actinopteri; Esociformes; Esocidae.